UACGUAGGUGGCAAGCGUUGUCCGGAUUUACUGGGCGUAAAGAGCGCGCAGGCGGUCGUUCAAGUCGCGUGUGAAAGCCCCCGGCUCAACUGGGGAGGGUCACGCGAUACUGAUCGACUCGAAGGCAGGAGAGGGUAGUGGAAUUCCCGGUGUAGUGGUGAAAUGCGCAGAUAUCAGGAGGAACACCGGUGGCGAAGGCGGGUCUCUGGGCAAUAACUGACGCUGAGGAGCGAAAGCGUGGGGAGCGAACAGG
Molecule: ribosomal RNA, 253 nt
Filed under: uncultured bacterium
Lineage: Bacteria
Description: partial 16S ribosomal RNA
Rfam family: Bacterial small subunit ribosomal RNA
Source: RNAcentral